This 465-nucleotide ribosomal RNA is filed under the name uncultured bacterium. RNAcentral's name for it is "partial 16S ribosomal RNA". It matches the Rfam family "Bacterial small subunit ribosomal RNA", at positions 338 to 795 of the family's 1533-position model. The record is from RNAcentral.
CCUACGGGCGGCAGCAGUAGGGAAUCUUCCACAAUGGGCGAAAGCCUGAUGGAGCCACGCCGCGUGGGUGAAGAAGGCCUUCGGAUCGUAAAACCCUGUUGUUAGAGAAGAAAGUGCGUAAGAGUAACUGUUCACGUUUCGACGGUAUCUAACCAGACAGCCACGGCUAACUACGUGCCAGCAGCCGCGGUAAUACGUAGGUGGCAAGCGUUAUCCGGAUUUAUUGGGCGUAAAGGGAACGCAGGCGGUCUGUUAAGUGUGAUGUGAAAGGCUUCGGCUUAACCGGAGUAGUGCAUUGGAUACUGGGAGACUUGAGUGCAGAUGAGGAGAGUGGAACUCCAGGUGUAGCGGUGAAAUGCGUAGAUAUAUGGAAGAACACCAGUGGCGAAGGCGGCUCUCUGGUCUGUAACUGACGCUGAGGUUCGAAAGUGUGGGUAGCAAACAGGAUUAGAUACCCCAGUAGUC